AAAAAGACGAACGCAAAAGGGCUGGUGAAAUAGUAAGUGGAUAUAGUGACCUUGACCUAUCUUUGUUAUUCUAGUGGUGGAUGGGUCAGUCAGUUUCCACCGUCGCCGGAGCUCAAAACCGUAUAAAGUCUAGAUCUUCGCCGGUGAUUUCUUCUAUGAAGGAAAUUGAUGAUUCCGACGAUGUUAUCGAUGUAUUCGAUGUAGGAGAGUUUGAUUAUUCUUCUAAUAUUCCUGAUGAGUGUUUAGCUUGCAUUUUCCAUUUCCUUAGCUCAGGUGACCGGAAAAGUUCUUCUCUCGUCUGCCGCCGUUGGCUCCGUGUGGAAGGCCAGAGCCGUCACCGUCUCUCGCUUAAUGCACAAUCGGAACUUGUGGCUGUUGUUCCUGUGAUUUUCUCUAGGUUUGAUUCGGUAACGAAACUCGCUUUGAAAUGUGACCGUAGAUCUGCGAGUAUUGGGGAUGAGGCGUUGGUGCUUAUCUCUUUAAGGUGCCGGAACCUAACUCGUUUGAAGCUUCGGUCGUGCCGGGAGCUUACUGAUGCUGGAAUGGAAUCUUUUGCGAAGAACUGUAAGGGUUUGAAGAAACUAUCUUGUGGAUCUUGUGCUUUUGGAGCUAAAGGGAUGAACGCCGUGUUGAAUAACUGCUCGGCUCUGGAAGAGUUGUCCGUGAAGCGGCUGCGUGGUAUCACAGAUGGGGCUGCAGCUGAGCCAAUUGGUCCUGGUGUUGCAGGGGGUUCUCUGAGAGUUAUUUGCCUUAAGGAACUCUACAAUGGACAGUGUUUUGGACCGUUGAUUAUUGGAUCGAAGAGUUUGCGGACGCUGAAGCUGUUCCGUUGUUCUGGAGAUUGGGAUAAGAUUCUGGAAGUGAUUGCUGAACAAGUCAGUGAACUUGUUGAAAUUCAUCUUGAGAGGCUUCAGGUCAGUGAUACCGGUCUUGCUGCUAUAUCUAAAUGUUCCAUUCUUGAAAUUCUGCACCUUGUGAAAACGCCUGAAUGCACUAAUAAUGGUCUAAAGACUGUUGCUGAAAACUGUAAGCUUCUAAGAAAGCUUCACAUUGAUGGGUGGAAGACUAACAGGAUAAGUGAUGAUGGGUUAAUUGCUGUGGCAAAACAUUGCCCCAAUUUACAAGAAUUGGUUUUAAUAGGUGUGAAUCCAACAUGUGCUAGUUUGGAGAAGUUGGCUACAAAUUGCUUGAAUUUAGAGAGAUUAGCUCUGUGUGGAAGUGAAACUGUUGGGGAUCCAGAACUGUCGUGCAUAGCUGCGAAAUGUAUUGCAUUAAGAAAACUUUGUAUAAAGAGUUGCCCAGUAUCCGAUCAGGGUAUGGAAGCGCUUGCUAGUGGAUGCCCAAAUUUGGUAAAAGUAAAGGUUAAGAAAUGUAGAUUGGUGACUUCUGGAAGUGCAGAUUGGUUGCGGACAACUAGGGGUUCCAUUGCUGUGAACUUGGAUACACCUGAACCUGAAAAUCCUGAUGCAAGUGCCAGUGAUGGUGGUUUGCCUGAAGUUGGCAAUGAAAUUAGGCAGGUGGCUGGCCAAGUAAGAGGUGUAAGUAUUGCAUCAAGCAGUACUGGGAGGUCAAAUUCCUUUAAGGCCAGGCUAGGACUUACAACAGGAAGGAAUCUGGUGGCUUGCACAUUCAGAAGGUGGUCGAGCUUUGGUGGGAGUUCGAGUUCCAGUUCCAGAAAUAAUUAGAAAAAAGGAGUUGACUGAGAUCAAUCUUAUGCUCAAAUAUUCUGCUAUUGAAGUUAUUUGACUUUUAUUACAUUUAUAUAUUCUUGAAUUUGCAUGCUAGUUAAUGCAACAACAGAUUCAGCCUUCAUGGUUGGACCUUGUUCGUGAGUUUUCCUUCUUUUUGUUUUUGCUUAUGUUGAUGCUAUUUUUGGGCUUGGUAUGCUCCUUCAACGUGGAGUUCUUCAUUUCUCCUGGGAGAGGA
This 1926-nucleotide unclassified non-coding RNA is filed under the name Hevea brasiliensis (rubber tree). The record is from RNAcentral. Lineage: Eukaryota; Viridiplantae; Streptophyta; Magnoliopsida; Malpighiales; Euphorbiaceae.